GAGAAAGACAGACACCUGCAGCCCUGCUUAACCACUCACAAAGCUUUCCCCCUAUAGCUGGGGCCAGGGCUCAAGCCUGGGACUUUAUGCAUUAUAAUAUAUGCACUCAACAAGGUGCACCACCACUUAGCCCCCUAACCCAUAUUUUCUUUUCACUUUCUCAGCUAUGUUGCUUUGGCUUUAAAUUUCCAAAAUGGACCUUUACACUUUCAAUUAGGCAUUUUUUAAAAAUUAAAGAAUGGAGGGCUUGAUGUUUCAGCAUUAUGAGUCAGCACAGAAAGUAAUAUUCAUGUCUGGUAUGAAGUAACACCAUCUGAGUACUAAGGACAUUCUCUUUUCAAACUCCUCACUAUAAAAAAAAAAAUCCACUAUCAGGCGGUAGCGCAGUGGGAUGGGUGCACAUGGCACAGAGCGCAAAGACUAGCAUAAGGCUCCGGGUUCGAGCCCUACCUGCAGGGGAGUCACUUCACAGGUGACUUUCUCCCUCUCACUCUCCUCCUACCCUCUUUAUUUCUGGCUUUCUAUACCCAAUAAAUAAUGAUAAUAAUAAUAAAGAAAACAUGAUAUUGUGUCUUUUUGGAUAUAGUACUAUAACGCAAUGAUUGAUUUCUUGCUAGUGAAAUAGAAUUUGCUGUAUGUUUUUACCAUGAGGAACUUUUGCAAAGUUUACAGGUGUAUUAUUAAAUAGAAUUCUAAAAUUGUUACAUUCUAAAGUUUUAGGAUUCUAUUUUUUUUUUUGAAAAAUCACAUAGGUAUAAUCAUGAAAGUUCUUUGAAAAAAUGUUCAGUGAUUUUUAGGUGUGUGUGUAUCUGUGUGUGUGUAGGGGGAGACAAGGGACUGGACAGCCUUGUGCUUUUAAUACUACCUCUGAAGAAAAACUUUCAAAUGGUUAGCAGUCUUUUGGGCACAUUCGCAAAGGACAGGACAGAUAGGACCCACUUCCUUCCCAGCAGUGUGAAGCUGACUACCAUGGCAACAACUCAACCCACUCCAUGCCAGAGAACAUCAGAACUGGUUUCCAAAGUCCUUAUUGGAAUUCUCCCAUGUCUCUGCAAAGCACUCUGUAAUUGCAAAUACUUAACCUGAAUUCAGCUAUUGUGACUUUGGAAGGCACAAGUCUGAGUCUUAUCUUUGUAUUCUCACCCUUCUAUGAACACUUCUCUAUCAAAAUGAAAAUACUUUCCUACAAAAGCUGCUUAAACCGCACACAGAGACUUAGGUUUCUGAUAGAUGAUUCAAGGUGGCAUAACAACGAUUCUUGAUAAUUUAUGCAUAUUUAAACUAUCAGGGAAUCACUACAGAGUAUAUUUAUGUUAGUGAUGGAUUUAGUUUUCUGUUCUCUUUGGAAUCACUUCCUGUUUAUCACAGAGUCAUCAUUUAUUAUACAUGGGAGCAAUUGCUUUACAAACCAACUGGAAUGUUUGCUUUACUGUUGCUAUAACAGUUAAGCUACUCCAUAUGCUUUUCAGUGUCACGGUCAGUGUUCUGUUCAUGUAUCAAUAGCAGAAGCAUAUUCGUAUUAUAAGUAUCAUCUGGAGAAGCAGCCAACGUCCUUGAAAAUACAGCUUUCCCUUUUGCAUGUACACAACAAGGUGCUUUCCGAGUAAGAUCAGAGCCUGCCACGAAAAGGCUGAUUCAUAGUGUUUCAGCUGUUUCCUUCAGAUUCAAGUAUGUUUUUACCAGAGGUAAAAACAGGGGCAGACAUUUGCUUCCAGUAGAGUUGAAGUGAUAGCCUAUUAUAACAACAUUUUCUGGAAGCCAUCUUUUUACUUAUCCAACUUUUCUUUAUUCUUGGGACUAGCAAAGUGUAGUUCUCUGGUAUAUCUGACUAGCUUUUAGUAGAAGCAUUGCUAUUAGGGUCAUCUCCUGUGAUGUUGCACUUCACAUUCUUCUAGGAUAUUGAAUGCUUCCAGAGUCUUUAACUGGAAACUACUUGUUCACUGAUGGUUCCCUUAAUGAUGCCAUGCACACCUGUUGGGAAUACACACACACACAUGCACACACACACAUGCACACACAUACAUUUACUUUGUAUUUCUUCAUGUGCAUAUAAAACCACGUGAAAUACAAAUUUAUAUGAAGCCAUUCAUUCCCACAGUUCAGAUGCUAAACUGAAAACAUGGAAUUUUGGUGGCUGCAUAUUUAGAAAUGUACUGAUGGUUGAAUUCAAAUUUCUAGGAAAAAUAGUUUCUUCAUAAUGAGAAUAAUCACAUCGUGAUGGCAAAGUUCUCAAGUGAAAUUAAAAGAGCAGUCUGUAAAAAAGAACUCCACUUUAUGGUUUUUUGAGUAUUACUUUUAAAAGACAGUCUCUUCAAAGAAAAUCAAGAUGAGAAAUAAGGAGAGUAUUGAAAUAUAAUAAAUCUGUCUAACCCACAUCUAUAUCUAUCCAUGAGCUUUUUUUUUUUUUGUAACUGUGUGAUUGUAGGGAUUCUAGUGGCUACCUCCAUCCCACUAUGAGAUAGCGAGAGAGGGAGAGACAAAAGACACCAUGAUACUCUACCACUCAUGAAACCGUGCUUCCAUUUGGUGGCUGGGGACUUGGCACUGGGUCCUCCUGAGCAAGGAAUAUGUACCCUUGUGGGUGAAUUGUCUGUCUUCUUGCCCCCAAGUCUACAAAUUUCAGUGUUUAUUUCUUAAAGAUUUUUCUGGAGGGCCAAAGACACAUGUAAAAGGAAACAUUAUUUGGCAGAUUUCUAUCUGUGUCAGGAAUUAAAUUACACACAUAUAUGUAAAUGUAUUAAUAUAAAUACACAGCAAAGGUAUGGUAAAACCACUGUGCUGCCCGUUUUUGUGUUACUUGAUUUAUACCUCAAAAGUAAGUUAGAGACAAAGAUAAUAUGCAGUCUAUUGAAUGUUGUUUAUAAAUAUGGAAAUAUUGACAAGACCAUAGGAUAAGAGGGCUACAACUCCACACAGUGCCCACCCCCAGACUUCCGUAUCUCUUCCCCUCCCCUGAUAGCUUCCCUAUCCUUUAUCCCUCUGGGAGUAUGGACCCAGGAUCAUCGUGGGAUGAAUAAAUAUGAUUUUAUAUGUUUCUCAAUAAUUGAGAGCUGUUAAGAAUUUUUAUUGUUAGAAAGUAUUCUCUUGUGAUAUGUUUAUUAAUUAGGUCAAUUAUUUUUGUUCCUACAGUUUAUUUCCUAGAAAUGCUCUUUAGUGCCAUGUGUGAGUGUCCAUGGAGGAUAUAGGAGCAAAUAAGAUAGCACUGACUCCUUUUCCGGUCAUGGCUGUAGACAGCAGUUGGGAGAAAUACUACUCAUCUUAGGAACACACAAUGUUGGAACACGGGGAAGGGUGUAGAUAAUGAAGAUAGUUUGUGGUCAUUCAUAGUUUUGGGUGACAGACAAAUGGAUAAUGUUUAGGUUCUUAUUUAAAUAGUUUAGCGAUGGUAUCAUUUUCUGAGAUAGAAAAAAAAAAGUGAAAGUAUUUUGUGUUUAAGACAAUGAAUCGAGUUCUGUUUAAAACUAAGGUGUCUAUUAAACAUCCCACUGAAGAUGUCAAGUGGGUGACAUGGAUGCAGAUAACUGAGGGUUCACGAAAGUUAGCGUGGAGUUAAAAGUAUCCUGCUGGCUAGAAGGAAGACAAACAUUGUGGAUCAAAAUGAUCUACAGGAUUACAAGAGAAUGCAGCUGUCUUUUGCCUCAUUCUUUCACAAAUUUAGAGUGUUCCAGAAGCAAGCCAAAUGACCUAAGAUGCAGAAGCAGAGCAGUCAACUCUCUUCCUUUGUUUCCUAAGUUUCCUAAGUUUCCAAAAUGUUUAAAGCUAUGGUGUGCUUUGUAUUACUGCUCUGUAGUUAUGACUGUAGUUAGUUUAAAAGGUGUAUUUGAAUAUGUAGUCAGUAUAUACUUUUUUAGUUCUCAGUUUUAAGAUCCACUGGAGUAAACAUCAAUAUAUGAAACCCACUAAGCAAAGAAUAGUUUAUGUUCUUGAAAGUUUGAGAGGUUCAGAGUCUAAAUGUUUGAGCACCACUUCCCAGAGCGAUAUGCUAUGAAGACAUUUAUGAUCGCACGUUUAGGAAAGAAGCAAGAUGAUGUUAACUGAAGGUUAAAAAUAAUAGAUAUAUACUCCCUUCUUCCUAAAUGCCACAGAAUUGGCAUCAUGGUAUAUCUAUCAUCAACCUCUUUGUUAAUUAGAAGUAAAUAUAGGGAGUCGGGCGGUAGCACAGCGGGUUAAGGGCACAUGGCGCAAAGCACAAGGACCAGCUUAAGGAUCCCAGUUCUAGCCCCGGCUCCCCACCUGCAGGGGAGUCGCUUCACAGGCAGUGAAGCAGGUCUGCAAGUGUCUGUCUUUCUCUCUCCCUCUCCAUCCACUCUUCCCUCUCAAUUUCUCUCUGUCCUGUCAAUUAAAAAAAAAAAAAGUAAAUACAUUUGUGUUAAGGCUGGAAUUUAAAUCCUGAACAAAUAACCAAUACAGAUAAACAAUUAGCAAGUAAAUGCAUGGGGGGGGGGGUCCUGAUUAUUUUGUUCAUCCCAAUCCAUUCCACAGCAUGAAUGUUAUCCUGAGAGGAUUCUGAGGAUUCUGUCUGCACACUUUCUCAUGUUCAAGAUUUGGAAGUUGGGAGUCAGGCGGUAGCGCAGCGGGUUAAGCGCAGGUGGUGCAAAGCGCAAGGACUGGUAUAAGGAUCCCAGUUUGAUCCCCUGGCUCCCCUUCUGCAGUGAAGCAGGUCUUCAGGUGUCUGUCUUUCCCCCUCUCUGUCUUCCCCUCCUCUCUCUAUUUCUCUCUGUCCUAUCCAACAGUGAUGACAAUAGUAACUACAACAAUAAAACAACAAAGGCAACAAAAGGGAAUAAAUAAAUAAAUAAAUAUUG
Long non-coding RNA from Erinaceus europaeus (western European hedgehog), 4805 nucleotides. RefSeq lists it as uncharacterized. Lineage: Eukaryota; Metazoa; Chordata; Mammalia; Eulipotyphla; Erinaceidae. The transcript has 2 exons. The record is from RefSeq and is a predicted model, not a curated record.